This 299-nucleotide long non-coding RNA is filed under the name Elaeis guineensis (African oil palm). Its description in RNAcentral is "long non-coding RNA (EGUI_LNC082430)". Lineage: Eukaryota; Viridiplantae; Streptophyta; Magnoliopsida; Arecales; Arecaceae. The record is from RNAcentral.
UGGCAUGAUACAUGAGUGGCUGGCUAUUUGAAAUUGGAUCUCUCCGAUUCAAACAUGAAUUGGAAAGGAUCUGAGAUACAUACAUAGCUAAAAGAUAGAAACACAAUUUCUUUUGAACCUCUCUUUGAUCUUAAGAUGAUUUCUAGCUGUGCAUGAUUUAGAAUCCUUAAAAUAAGAAUAAUAACAUCUCUUCUUGAGAAAUAUUAGCCUGAAAAUCAUGAAGCAUAAAAUUUAAAUACUAAUGCCAUAAGACCGAUCUUGGUUAAUUUUCUUUAAAAAAAAUAGAAAUUUAGGUGGCU